ACAAGUAUUUAAUGGUCGGAAUCAAAAAAAUCGUCAGAGCAGUAAACAAAGGCACGACCGUAAGAAUUAAUUAUCACGUUUCUCUGUUCUAAUAGUUUAUUCAAAAAUUCAAACAUGUCAAAGCUGUUGAUAAUUUUGGAAAUUGUUGGAGUAUUUGUGGUCUUGAGCAGAGCGAGUGUGAUCAAAGAGAGCUGCUCAGCUGAAGGAUCUCUCUGUGUAUUAGGAAGUAAUUGCUGUGGUGAUUUGGUAUGUAAUCCUGGUUUCUUUAUCUUUGGAUUGUGUGAUACAAU
Long non-coding RNA from Cotesia glomerata, 290 nucleotides. RefSeq lists it as uncharacterized. Lineage: Eukaryota; Metazoa; Arthropoda; Insecta; Hymenoptera; Braconidae. The record is from RefSeq and is a predicted model, not a curated record. The transcript is spliced from 3 exons.